CCUGUGAGAUGAGAUAAGUGUUCUUCCUGGAUUUAGGGAUUUAUGGAGGAGGUGACUGAGAGCCAGAGAGGUUAGGGAACUUGUCCAAGUUUACACAGCUGAGCCCAGAUUCAAACCCAGGGCCGAGGGUCACCAUGUCCUGGGCCAGCGGCCCUUUCGCCACCUUGUUGGCUUCUUCCAGGUGGCCCUCGGCCAGCCAGAAGCUGGUGGUGGUUCAGGGUGCCACUUUGUCUUCCUGGUGGUGGAGAGAUGACCGCUGUCAGCAUCCACAGGAGAGAGACCCACCCCGGGUCCCAGAAGGCUCCUCAUGCUGGCCCUGGACAGGCCCUUUUGGCCUGGAGAUCAUUCUCUUGGUAGAGAGCUGGUAUCCUGGGGUUGUCCCAGCUGGCAUUGUCUCCUAGGCCCUGGAGGAUCCAGCUCCAGAUUCAAAAAAGCAGCAAAACCAGACAAGUGACGCCAUGGCUGCCUCAGGACCAGCUGCAUUGACUAAUGACCCCCUGCCCUACACGGACCAGUCACGACCCUGAAAGAGCACACCUGGAAAGCUGAUGAAUAUUCUAUUAAGACCCUCUCCUGAGACCGCCGCUAAGAUUUACACCUGCAAGAGAGAGAUAAAUACGCUCAGGAUGAAGGACCCAGCGCCUGCUCUUCCCCAGGGGAGCCAUUCCCUUUCCUCUUCUUUCCUCUAAGGGACCCGGGAGCAAUGGGCAGCGGCAGCUUGUCCAUGGCUAACCCCCUGAACCUGUCUUCAAGACCCCCUUUUCUCUGACUUCUCAGUGAGCCCAAGCAGCCCUGCCUAUGCUCUCCUGUUGCUUCUUCUGUGACCUUCCUUGUUUCUCUGUCCUAAAUAUAUUUGUGGCCCUGACCGGUUUGGCUCAGUGGAUAGAGCGUCGGCCUGCGGACUCAGGGGUCCCAGGUUCGAUUCCGGUCAAGGGCAUGUACCUUGGUUGU
Long non-coding RNA from Eptesicus fuscus (big brown bat), 951 nucleotides. RefSeq lists it as uncharacterized. The record is from RefSeq and is a predicted model, not a curated record. Lineage: Eukaryota; Metazoa; Chordata; Mammalia; Chiroptera; Vespertilionidae. The transcript is spliced from 3 exons.